UCAUCGUUUAGGAUCCAAUCCAAUUCUUAUUAAGAGUCAUUUACAGCCUUUUCAUUGACUUUAAUGGGAAUUGGACUGGCUCCUAAAUUAGGA
Molecule: non-coding RNA, 93 nt
Organism: Podarcis lilfordi (Lilford's wall lizard)
Lineage: Eukaryota; Metazoa; Chordata; Lepidosauria; Squamata; Lacertidae
Source: the annotation of a GenBank genome assembly